This 550-nucleotide ribosomal RNA is filed under the name uncultured bacterium. RNAcentral's name for it is "bacterial SSU rRNA". It matches the Rfam family "Bacterial small subunit ribosomal RNA", at positions 355 to 896 of the family's 1533-position model. The record is from RNAcentral.
UAGGGAAUCUUCCGCAAUGGGCGAAAGCCUGACGGAGCAACGCCGCGUGAGUGAUGAAGGUCUUCGGAUCGUAAAACUCUGUUAUUAGGGAAGAACAUAUGUGUAAGUAACUGUGCACAUCUUGACGGUACCUAAUCAGAAAGCCACGGCUAACUACGUGCCAGCAGCCGCGGUAAUACGUAGGUGGCAAGCGUUAUCCGGAAUUAUUGGGCGUAAAGCGCGCGUAGGCGGUUUUUUAAGUCUGAUGUGAAAGCCCACGGCUCAACCGUGGAGGGUCAUUGGAAACUGGAAAACUUGAGUGCAGAAGAGGAAAGUGGAAUUCCAUGUGUAGCGGUGAAAUGCGCAGAGAUAUGGAGGAACACCAGUGGCGAAGGCGACUUUCUGGUCUGCAACUGACGCUGAUGUGCGAAAGCGUGGGGAUCAAACAGGAUUAGAUACCCUGGUAGUCCACGCCGUAAACGAUGAGUGCUAAGUGUUAGGGGGUUUCCGCCCCUUAGUGCUGCAGCUAACGCAUUAAGCACUCCGCCUGGGGAGUACGACCGCAAGGUUG